This 279-nucleotide ribosomal RNA is filed under the name uncultured bacterium. Its description in RNAcentral is "partial 16S ribosomal RNA". It matches the Rfam family "Bacterial small subunit ribosomal RNA", at positions 506 to 784 of the family's 1533-position model. The record is from RNAcentral.
UGCCAGCAGCCGCGGUAAUACGAAGGGACCUAGCGUAGUUCGGAAUUACUGGGCUUAAAGAGUUCGUAGGUGGUUGAAAAAGUUGAUGGUGAAAUCCCAAGGCUUAACCUUGGAACUGCCAUCAAAACUUUUUAGCUAGAGUAUGAUAGAGGAAAGUGGAAUUUCUAGUGUAGAGGUGAAAUUCGUAGAUAUUAGAAAGAACACCAAAUGCGAAGGCAACUUUCUGGAUCAUUACUGACACUGAGGAGCGAAAGCUAGGGGAGCAAACAGGAUUAGAUA